CUGAAUAACUACGCAGAUCGCACAGGCUCGUCCUGGCGACAUAUCCUUCAAGUGUCUGCCUUAUCAACUGUCGAUGGUAGUUUAUUGGACUACCAUGGUUGUAACGGGUAACGGAGAAUUAGGGUUCGACUCCGGAGAGGGAGCCUGAGAUACGGCUACCACAUCCAAGGAAGGCAGCAGGCGCGCAAAUUACCCACUCUCAGCUCGAGGAGGUAGUGACGAAAAAUAACGAGACAGUCUUCUAUGAGGUCUGUCAUCGGAAUGGGUACAAUCUAAACCCUUUAACGAGGAUCUAUUGGAGGGCAAGUCUGGUGCCAGCAGCCGCGGUAAUUCCAGCUCCAAUAGCGUAUAUUAAAGUUGUUGCGGUUAAAAAG
Molecule: ribosomal RNA, 374 nt
Filed under: Nematoda sp.
Lineage: Eukaryota; Metazoa; Nematoda
Description: SSU rRNA
Rfam family: Eukaryotic small subunit ribosomal RNA
Source: RNAcentral